Molecule: ribosomal RNA, 396 nt
Filed under: uncultured bacterium
Lineage: Bacteria
Description: bacterial SSU rRNA
Rfam family: Bacterial small subunit ribosomal RNA
Source: RNAcentral
GACGAACGCUGGCGGCGUGCUUAACACAUGCAAGUCGAGCGAGAAAGCUCCUUCGGGAGUGAGUACAGCGGCGAACGGGUGAGUAACACGUGGGCAACCUGCCCUAGGGAGCGGGACAACCCGAGGAAACUCGGGCUAAUACCGCAUGAUUCGUCAUGUCUCAAGGCAUGACGGGAAAUGGUAGCUUCGGCCUCCGCCCUAGGAUGGGCCCGCGGCGCAUUAGCUUGNGGUGUGGGUAACGGCUCACCAAGGCGACGAUGCGUAGCUGGUCUGAGAGGACGAUCAGCCACACUGGGACUGAGACACGGCCCAGACUCCUACGGGAGGCAGCAGUGGGGAAUCUUGCGCAAUGGGCGGAAGCCUGACGCAGCAACGCCGCGUGAGGGAAGACGGCCU